RNAcentral lists this small RNA (771 nucleotides) under Pan troglodytes (chimpanzee). Its description in RNAcentral is "processed transcript". Lineage: Eukaryota; Metazoa; Chordata; Mammalia; Primates; Hominidae. The record is from RNAcentral.
GCCUGCAGGGCCUUAUCUUGCCAAACCAAGGCCAAAACCAGUUCUGAGAGACCCUCCAAGCCCGGAAGAACCGCAUGCACGAAUCCCUGAAGCUUUUUGACAGCAUCUGCAACAACAAAUGGUUCACAGACACGUCCAUCAUCCUGUUUCUUAACAAGAAGGACAUAUUUGAAGAGAAGAUCAAGAAGUCCCCGCUCACCAUCUGCUUUCCUGAAUAUACAGGCCCCAGCGCCUUCACAGAAGCCGUGGCUUACAUCCAGGCCCAGUACGAGAGCAAGAACAAGUCAGCCCACAAGGAGAUCUACACCCACGUCACCUGCGCCACGGACACCAACAACAUCCAGUUUGUCUUUGAUGCUGUGACGGACGUCAUCAUCGCCAAAAACCUGCGGGGCUGUGGACUCUACUGAGCCCAGCCACCCUGCCCGGCACCCUUGCCCUGCCUGGCCUGCCGCCCCCCCUCCCCUGGAACCAGGCUCCACCACUCUCAGACCACUCUUUGCACUUGAGGAAGAAGACCUCAGAGGCUGGCACCAAGGGAGGGAGGAGGGAGCAUCCUCCACCCGCACCCCCCAACAGAACUCGUGGUAACACAGGGGCGGGGCGGGGCUGCUGAGUGCAUGCUGCAAGGCCAGGAGACUCCACGCUCACAGCCUCUGUGUCAUCUCUGAGUGCUUGAUCGGGAAGCUGGGGGGACAGGGCAGGGCCCAGAUGGGCACACCCUGCACCUGAUGACUCACUGGAAGCCUCGGAGUGUCCUCCUGUCAUCUU